This 468-nucleotide ribosomal RNA is filed under the name uncultured bacterium. Its description in RNAcentral is "partial 16S ribosomal RNA". It matches the Rfam family "Bacterial small subunit ribosomal RNA", at positions 28 to 507 of the family's 1533-position model. The record is from RNAcentral.
GACGAACGCUGGCGGCGUGCUUAACACAUGCAAGUCGAACGGAAAGGCCCUGCUUUUGUGGGGUGCUCGAGUGGCGAACGGGUGAGUAACACGUGAGUAACCUGCCCUUGACUUUGGGAUAACUUCAGGAAACUGGGGCUAAUACCGGAUAGGAGCUCCUGCUGCAUGGUGGGGGUUGGAAAGUUUCGGCGGUUGGGGAUGGACUCGCGGCUUAUCAGCUUGUUGGUGGGGUAGUGGCUUACCAAGGCUUUGACGGGUAGCCGGCCUGAGAGGGUGACCGGCCACAUUGGGACUACGAUACGGCCCAGACUCCUACGGGAGGCAGCAGUGGGGAAUAUUGCACAAUGGGCGGAAGCCUGAUGCAGCAACGCCGCGUGCGGGAUGACGGCCUUCGGGUUGUAAACCGCUUUCGCCUGUGACGAAGCGUGAGUGACGGUAAUGGGUAAAGAAGCACCGGCUAACUACGUG